This 372-nucleotide transfer-messenger RNA is filed under the name Burkholderiales. RNAcentral describes it as "Aquabacterium sp004322345 Standard tmRNA". It matches the Rfam family "transfer-messenger RNA". Rfam says of the family: Bacterial tmRNA, also known as 10Sa RNA or SsrA, is named for its dual tRNA and mRNA-like properties. Lineage: Bacteria; Pseudomonadati; Pseudomonadota; Betaproteobacteria. The record is from RNAcentral. RNAcentral also lists the same sequence under 2 other names.
GGGGCCGACCUGGUUUCGACGUGGGUGCGGAUCCGGAAUGGGGCAUGCCGAGCACCAGUCAGCUCGUAAAUCCACUGGAACAAAGUAACUGCGAACGACGAACGUUUCGCCCUCGCCGCUUAACACCGGUGAGCCUCGCAACAGUUGGCCGAUGGGCUGGGCACUAGACCGCAAGGUCUAAGGCUGCGAGGUCAUACACAUUGGCUGGUUCCCGUUUGGGUCACUCAAGCAGGAACGAGAUCUAGUGACUGGUGAGUCCCGGAGCGUGCUGCUGCGCGCCGUGGCUCACGAGAAUCAAAUCAGUCAGCUACGCAUGUAGAACCACCCGGUGAUGGCUUGCGGACGCGGGUUCAAUUCCCGCCGGCUCCACCA